Molecule: ribosomal RNA, 1343 nt
Filed under: uncultured bacterium
Lineage: Bacteria
Description: 16S ribosomal RNA
Rfam family: Bacterial small subunit ribosomal RNA
Source: RNAcentral
GACGAACGCUGGCGGCGUGCUUAACACAUGCAAGUCGAACGGAAAGGCCCUGCUUUUGUGGGGUGCUCGAGUGGCGAACGGGUGAGUAACACGUGAGUAACCUGCCCUUGACUUUGGGAUAACUUCAGGAAACUGGGGCUAAUACCGGAUAGGAGCUCCUGCUGCAUGGUGGGGGUUGGAAAGUUUCGGCGGUUGGGGAUGGACUCGCGGCUUAUCAGCUUGUUGGUGGGGUAGUGGCUUACCAAGGCUUUGACGGGUAGCCGGCCUGAGAGGGUGACCGGCCACAUUGGGACUGAGAUACGGCCCAGACUCCUACGGGAGGCAGCAGUGGGGAAUAUUGCACAAUGGGCGGAAGCCUGAUGCAGCAACGCCGCGUGCGGGAUGACGGCCUUCGGGUUGUAAACCGCUUUCGCCUGUGACGAAGCGUGAGUGACGGUAAUGGGUAAAGAAGCACCGGCUAACUACGUGCCAGCAGCCGCGGUGAUACGUAGGGUGCGAGCGUUGUCCGGAUUUAUUGGGCGUAAAGGGCUCGUAGGUGGUUGAUCGCGUCGGAAGUGUAAUCUUGGGGCUUAACCCUGAGCGUGCUUUCGAUACGGGUUGACUUGAGGAAGGUAGGGGAGAAUGGAAUUCCUGGUGGAGCGGUGGAAUGCGCAGAUAUCAGGAGGAACACCAGUGGCGAAGGCGGUUCUCUGGGCCUUUCCUGACGCUGAGGAGCGAAAGCGUGGGGAGCGAACAGGCUUAGAUACCCUGGUAGUCCACGCCGUAAACGGUGGGUACUAGGUGUGGGGUCCAUUCCACGGGUUCCGUGCCGUAGCUAACGCUUUAAGUACCCCGCCUGGGGAGUACGGCCGCAAGGCUAAAACUCAAAGGAAUUGACGGGGCCCCGCACAAGCGGCGGAGCAUGCGGAUUAAUUCGAUGCAACGCGUAGAACCUUACCUGGGUUUGACAUGGAUCGGGAGCGCUCAGAGAUGGGUGUGCCUCUUUUGGGGUCGGUUCACAGGUGGUGCAUGGCUGUCGUCAGCUCGUGUCGUGAGAUGUUGGGUUAAGUCCCGCAACGAGCGCAACCCUUGUUCACUGUUGCCAGCACGUUAUGGUGGGGACUCAGUGGAGACCGCCGGGGUCAACUCGGAGGAAGGUGGGGAUGACGUCAAGUCAUCAUGCCCCUUAUGUCCAGGGCUUCACGCAUGCUACAAUGGCUGGUACAGAGAGUGGCGAGCCUGUGAGGGUGAGCGAAUCUCGGAAAGCCGGUCUCAGUUCGGAUUGGGGUCUGCAACUCGACCUCAUGAAGUCGGAGUCGCUAGUAAUCGCAGAUCAGCAACGCUGCGGUGAAUACGUUCCCGGG